UGCUUCUCACCUUUACUGGCAAUAAAGCUGCAGACAUCUACUGUACCAUCUAUUAAGUUUCCUUGAUCUCUGAUUUUUAUUGCAUUAUCAAAGCAGGUGAGACACUGUGUUGGCAUUAUAUGAGCUUUACACACAUUCUUCUUAUUUCCAUCAUUCUUGUGUCAGCUGAACCAAUGCUGACACGACCUGAAUAAAAGGCAAAAUACUGUGUCAGUUCACACUGAGGUAAAGUAGCUGUAAAAAUGUUUAUAUAUGUUUAUACUCGCAAUGCUUCUUUGAUCAUCAUGAUGAGCCCUUGAAUGUUUCUGUCACUGGGAAGAUCUGAUUUGGGAUUACUUUCAUACCUUUCUAUGUAAGGGCAGAAUUCCUAAGCAAUCCUACACGAAGUAAGACUGUUUAAAAUCUUGGAUUCACACAUUCCCAGGCAGAGGUGUUGGUGCUGCAGACAGAGAGGAGCAGCAAGAAAGGAGGAGCUGCAGGUACUACCCCUUUAUUCACCUGUGGACUCCUGCCAGAUUCAGGAUGCUGACAUCCCAAGCUGAUGUAUUUCUAUGGAAUGGCUUCAUGGAUACCAUGAUGUGUGGAAU
RNAcentral lists this long non-coding RNA (587 nucleotides) under Parus major (Great Tit). Its description in RNAcentral is "lncRNA (ENSPMJG00000013135.1)". The record is from RNAcentral. Lineage: Eukaryota; Metazoa; Chordata; Aves; Passeriformes; Paridae.